GAUGAACGCUGGCGGCGUGCCUAAUACAUGCAAGUCGAGCGAACAGACGAGGAGCUUGCUCCUCUGACGUUAGCGGCGGACGGGUGAGUAACACGUGGAUAACCUACCUAUAAGACUGGGAUAACUUCGGGAAACCGGAGCUAAUACCGGAUAAUAUAUUGAACCGCAUGGUUCAAUAGUGAAAGACGGUUUUGCUGUCACUUAUAGAUGGAUCCGCGCCGCAUUAGCUAGUUGGUAAGGUAACGGCUUACCAAGGCAACGAUGCGUAGCCGACCUGAGAGCGUGGUCGGCCACACUGGAACUGAGACACGGUCCAGACUCCUACGGGAGGCAGCAGUAGGGAAUCUUCCGCAAUGGGCGAAAGCCUGACGGAGCAACGCCGCGUGAGUGAUGAAGGUCUUCGGAUCGUAAAACUCUGUUAUUAGGGAAGAACAAAUGUGUAAGUAACUAUGCACGUCUUGACGGUACCUAAUCAGAAAGCCACGGCUAACUACGUG
This 497-nucleotide ribosomal RNA is filed under the name uncultured bacterium. RNAcentral's name for it is "partial 16S ribosomal RNA". It matches the Rfam family "Bacterial small subunit ribosomal RNA", at positions 28 to 507 of the family's 1533-position model. The record is from RNAcentral.